Molecule: long non-coding RNA, 995 nt
Filed under: Helianthus annuus (common sunflower)
Lineage: Eukaryota; Viridiplantae; Streptophyta; Magnoliopsida; Asterales; Asteraceae
Description: sRNA HanXRQr2_Chr03g0118391
Source: RNAcentral
UAGCCCACUCAAAUAUCUCAUGUAAAUUCCACUAAGAUUUGAAGUCAAUCCUACCCAUUUUUACGUGUGAAAAUUUUCAAUGCCACAGCUUGCUGCAAAAACCAUUUCUGGGCCUCUCGAUAUUUAUGAUGUCAGCAAAUGAGUGAACCAACUGUCCAGCUACGCUAUAGGAUCGUCAAUCAGGGUCUGGAUAAAAGUGUUGACCACUCUGCGUUCCUGCUCGGUUGAGCUUAAACUAAACCAUUUCCUGACGCUUCACCGUUGGAUCUAUGGUGGGUCCAGUUUUCGGAUUCACCACUGUUGGGUUAUCUGGCUCACCGUCAACUUCAUCCUUGUAAGAAUCAGUUGGAACGACUAUUUCUUCGUUUAAAUCUGGUACAGUAGCAACGUUCAAGUUGAGCCCUUUUAAAUCUGGGCUCGCUUCAUCUGACUUUGGUGUUUCGAGCUUGAUCACUUUACUAAUUCCACUCAGAUCUGCACCUGAAAUUAGGUAUACAAAUGAACAAGAUUCCAUUUUUUGAACAUACCUGAUGAAUGAAGAAGAUGAACAAGCAGAUGAGUUAUAUGAGGGUAAUUGGGUAAUUUCUCAGUAAAAAGGGGAAAUAUGUAAUUGAUUUUAUGAUUUGGGGAAAUACGUAAUAAGAAGGCUUAGGAGGGGGAAAUAUGUAAAAAUCCCAAGUUGGGGGCUGUUUUGGAAAGAAAGCAAGGUAGGAGGGUUAGAAGUUGUAGAAGUUGAAAGCUGGAGGGUUCCUAUCCUGAUAUCAGCGUUGGUGAGCAUCCUGGGCGUUUCCCUUCGUUGGUGGGCUAUUACUUUCAAGACAGUAUUGGUGGGAUUGAUGAUGAUGAUGACCAAUAUACAAAAAAGAGGUGAACAGAUUUUGGUACCCUUGAUAUAACUCCAGUGGUCAAGCCUAUCCGUGAGCCACAUGUAGUCGGAUUGAUGGGAUUUGGUUAUGAAACUGUUGGGUUUGAGACUGUGUCGGUGAAAUGUAAGA